GGCCUGGAAUAACACGAGGAAACUUGUGCUAAUACCGGAUAAGUCUUUACAGAGAAAGCUUUAUGCACCAUUGGAUGAGCCCGCACUUGAUUAGUUUGUUGGUGGGGUAAUGGCCUACCAAGACUUUGAUCAAUAGCUGAUUUGAGAGGAUGAUCAGCCACAUUGGGACUGAGACACGGCCCAAACUCCUACGGGAGGCAGCAGUGGGGAAUCUUGCACAAUGGAGGAAACUCUGAUGCAGCGAUGCCGCGUGAGUGAAGAAGGCCUUUGGGUUGUAAAGCUCUUUCGUCGGGGAAGAAAAUGACUGUACCCGAAUAAGAAGGUCCGGCUAACUUCGUGCCAGCAGCCGCGGUAAUACGAAGGGACCUAGCGUAGUUCGGAAUUACUGGGCUUAAAGAGUUCGUAGGUUGUUGAAAAAGUUGGUGGUGAAGUCCCAGAGCUUAACUCUGGAACUGCCAUCAAAACUUUUCAGCUAGAGUUUGAUAGAGGAAAGCAGAAUUUCUAGUGUAGAGGUGAAAUUCGUAGAUAUUAGAAAGAAUACCAAUUGCGAAGGCAGCUUUCUGGAUCAUUACUGACACUGAGGAACGAAAGCAUGGGUAGCGAAGAGGAUUAGAUACCCUCGUAGUCCAUGCCGUAAACGAUGUGUGUUAGACGUUGGAAAUUUAUUUUCAGUGUCGCAGCGAAAGCGAUAAACACACCGCCUGGGGAGUACGAC
Molecule: ribosomal RNA, 715 nt
Filed under: uncultured bacterium
Lineage: Bacteria
Description: bacterial SSU rRNA
Rfam family: Bacterial small subunit ribosomal RNA
Source: RNAcentral